RNAcentral lists this long non-coding RNA (361 nucleotides) under Ananas comosus (pineapple). RNAcentral describes it as "long non-coding RNA (ACOM_LNC002321)". The record is from RNAcentral. Lineage: Eukaryota; Viridiplantae; Streptophyta; Magnoliopsida; Poales; Bromeliaceae.
GAGGAGCUCGGGUAGAGUCGGAUUGUCGUCGACGUCAUGCCAUGGUGCCGUUCGAGCGUGCAUUCGUCGUGGUAGCGCCGUGGGGAGGCCGGACGAGCGUGUGGUUCCGCUUCUGUCGACUUCUCGCCGUGGUUAGACGUGCUUUCGAGGUGGGUUAAAAUGAUGCUUACCGGAUUCUACGGGUUUCCUUCUAAUUCUACAUAUGUCGACAGUAUAUGUUUUUAGCUUUGUUUAGUACAUUGUUUAGCUCGAUUCUUGAAAUUGCAUGUUUUUUAACUUGAAUUGAAGCGUAGAAAAUUAGCUAAAAUAUGCAUGUUGGACUUGGAUUUGACUUAGGAGAAAACUGAUGUUUCUACACCGC